Molecule: non-coding RNA, 776 nt
Organism: Macaca mulatta (Rhesus monkey)
Lineage: Eukaryota; Metazoa; Chordata; Mammalia; Primates; Cercopithecidae
Source: RefSeq, a predicted model, not a curated record
UCAUGCUGGGAAAAGGAAAGGGAAGACUCUAGAGUCCCUGAGGAGACAGUACUAGACUACAGACAUAUGUAAGUAGUGAGCCUUGCUCCUGUCUCUACCGGGACACAGACUGCACCAAGCUCUUGGAAGUCGCAGCUUCACAGGCAACCAGGUCACGGAACAAAUAGCCAGGCUAAAGGCAGAGAAUCCAGGAGUCUGGCAAAGACAGACAUUUUUCCUGGAUGCAUCACUAAAUUAGAAUUACACAGCUGCCUCUUAUUAUUAAAAGCACCCUCCCCCUCACUCCCUGAAUAAAUGCGUGUUCUGACAUUAAAACAAGACACUACACAAGAAGAGCCUGGAAGCCAGAAUGCCGCCAGCUUUGUAUGCCAGAUGUGAUUACGGAGUGACAGCGAACAAUCCUGCAAUCAGCCCAUUGGUUAGCCAGAAACCGUGGACACUCAAGAGAUCUACAAGGAUUCAGAAAUCAUAACAGACUCUCAAGAAAAUCAUCUCAGACAGACAAAAAUAUAGCUAUUUACAUAUACAUUAGUAAGAGUGAGGCAGAGGAAGAUUUGAUAUGCGCAGAAUAGGAGAGAGCAAUGUGAAGAUGGUGGCAGCGAUUGGACUGACGAAGCCACCAGAAGCUGGAAGACGUAAGGAUCCGAUUCUCCCCUGGAGCAUCUGGAGGAAGCAAGGUCCUGUCAACAUUCUGCAUUUAGCCCAUUGAAAUGAACAUUGAACAGAAUCCUGGCCCCUAGCACUAGUAGAGAAUAAAGUUAUGUUGUUUUAAGCCA